This 776-nucleotide long non-coding RNA is filed under the name Nicotiana tabacum (common tobacco). RNAcentral describes it as "long non-coding RNA (NTAB_LNC001612)". The record is from RNAcentral. Lineage: Eukaryota; Viridiplantae; Streptophyta; Magnoliopsida; Solanales; Solanaceae.
UAUCUUCUAUUAAAACAAGAAAACUCAAAAAUAGAUCGUGUAGUAUUCUCGAGCUUUAUCCCCAGCCAGUCAGCAUUAGGGUUUUAAAACCCUAAACUGAAUUUUCCUUUUUGUCAGCAUUAGGGUUUUAAACCCUAAACUGAACUUUUUCCUUUCAGCUAGCAUUAGGGUUUUAAACCCUAAACUGAGCUUUUCCAUGCUAUCAACAUUAGGGUUUUAAACCCUAAACUGAAUUUUCCUUUUAGUCAGCAUUAGGGUUUUAAACCCUAAACUGAACUUUUUCCAUUCAGCCAGCAUUAGGGUUUUAAACCCUAAACUGAGUUUUUCCAUGCAAUCAGCAUUAGGGUUUUAAACCCUAAACUGAGCUUUUCUUUUUAGUCAGCAUUAGGGUUUUAAACCCUAAACUGAACUUUUUCCUUUCAGCCAGCAUUAGGGUUUUAAACCCUAAACUGAGCUUUUCCAUGCAAUCAGCAUUAGGGUUUUAAACCCUAAACCGAAUUUUCCUUUUAGUCAGCAUUAGGGUUUUAAACCCUAAACUGAACUUUUUCCAUUCAGCUAGCAUUAGGGUUUUAAACCCUAAACUGAGUUUUUCCAUGCAAUCAGCAUUAGGGUUUUAAACCCUAAAUUGAGCUUUUCCUUUUAGUCAGCAUUAGGGUUUUAAACCCUAAACUGAACUUUUUCCUUUCAGCCAGCAUUAGGUUUUUAAACCCUAAACUGAGCUUUUCCAUGCAAUCAGAAUUAGGGUUUUAAACCCAAAACUGAAUUUUCCUUUUAGU